This 492-nucleotide ribosomal RNA is filed under the name uncultured bacterium. Its description in RNAcentral is "partial 16S ribosomal RNA". It matches the Rfam family "Bacterial small subunit ribosomal RNA", at positions 29 to 507 of the family's 1533-position model. The record is from RNAcentral.
AGUGAACGCUGGCGGUAGGCCUAACACAUGCAAGUCGAACGGCAGCACAGUAAGAGCUUGCUCUUACGGGUGGCGAGUGGCGGACGGGUGAGGAAUACAUCGGACUCUACUUUUUCGUGGGGGAUAACGUAGGGAAACUUACGCUCAUACCGCAUACGACCUACGGGUGAAAGCAGGGGAUCUUCGGACCUUGCGCGAUUGAAUGCGCCGAUGUCGGAUUAGCUAGUUGGCGGGGUAAAGGCCCACCAAGGCGGCGAUCCGUAGCUGGUCUGAGUGGAUGAUCAGCCACAUGGGAACUGAGACACGGUCCAGACUCCUACGAGAGGCAGCAGUGGGGAAUAGUGGACAAUGGUCGCAAGCCUGACCCAGCCAUACCGCGUGGGUUAAGAAAGCCUUCGGGUUGUAAAGCCCUUUUGUUGGUAAAGAAAAGCAUCAGGUUAAGACCCCGCUGUUCUGACGGUACCCAAAGAAUAAGCACCGGCUAACUUCGUG